UGCGUAGGCGGAAUAUUAAGUCAGUGGUGAAAUCCUGCGGCUCAACCGUAGAACUGCCAUUGAUACUGAUAUUCUUGAAUGUAGUUGAGGUAGGCGGAAUGUGUAAUGUAGCGGUGAAAUGCUUAGAUAUUACACAGAACACCGAUUGCGAAGGCAGCUUACUAAACUAUGAUUGACGCUGAGGCACGAAAGCGUGGGGAGCGAACAGGAUUAGAUACCCGCGUAGUCC
RNAcentral lists this ribosomal RNA (229 nucleotides) under uncultured bacterium. RNAcentral's name for it is "partial 16S ribosomal RNA". It matches the Rfam family "Bacterial small subunit ribosomal RNA", at positions 568 to 796 of the family's 1533-position model. The record is from RNAcentral.